AGUGAACGCUGGCGGCGUGCUUAACACAUGCAAGUCGAACGGGCAAGAGCCGUAGCAAUACGGAGUUCUGCUAGUGGCAGACGGGUGAGUAAUACAUAGGAAUCUGCCUUGGAGACAGGAACAACAGUUGGAAACGACUGCUAAUACCUGAUAUUGCCUAAGGGGGAAAGAUUUAUCGCUCCAAGAUGAGCCUAUGUGGGAUUAGCUAGUUGGUAAGGUAAAAGCUUACCAAGGCUACGAUCUCUAAUUGGUCUAAGAGGAUGACCAGUCACACUGGAACUGAGACACGGUCCAGACUCCUACGGGAGGCAGCAGUGGGGAAUAUUGGACAAUGGGCGAAAGCCUGAUCCAGCGACGCCGCGUGGAUGAUUAAGGCCUUCGGGUUGUAAAGUCCUUCCGGUAGGGAAGAUAAUGACGGUACCUACAAAAGAAGCUCCGGCUAACUUCGUGCCAGCCGCCGCAGUAA
RNAcentral lists this ribosomal RNA (466 nucleotides) under uncultured bacterium. RNAcentral describes it as "partial 16S ribosomal RNA". It matches the Rfam family "Bacterial small subunit ribosomal RNA", at positions 29 to 523 of the family's 1533-position model. The record is from RNAcentral.